This 468-nucleotide ribosomal RNA is filed under the name uncultured bacterium. RNAcentral's name for it is "partial 16S ribosomal RNA". It matches the Rfam family "Bacterial small subunit ribosomal RNA", at positions 28 to 507 of the family's 1533-position model. The record is from RNAcentral.
GACGAACGCUGGCGGCGUGCUUAACACAUGCAAGUCGAACGGAAAGGCCCUGCUUUUGUGGGGUGCUCGAGUGGCGAACGGGUGAGUAACACGUGAGUAACCUGCCCUUGACUUUGGGAUAACUUCAGGAAACUGGGGCUAAUGCCGGAUAGGAGCUCCUGCUGCAUGGUGGGGGUUGGAAAGUUUCGGCGGUUGGGGAUGGACCCGCGGCUUAUCAGCUUGUUGGUGGGGUAGUGGCUUACCAAGGCUUUGACGGGUAGCCGGCCUGAGAGGGUGACCGGCCACAUUGGGACUGAGAUACGGCCCAGACUCCUACGGGAGGCAGCAGUGGGGAAUAUUGCACAAUGGGCGGAAGCCUGAUGCAGCAACGCCGCGUGCGGGAUGACGGCCUUCGGGUUGUAAACCGCUUUCGCCUGUGACGAAGCGUGAGUGACGGUAAUGGGUAAAGAAGCACCAGCUAACUACGUG